Molecule: ribosomal RNA, 467 nt
Filed under: uncultured bacterium
Lineage: Bacteria
Description: partial 16S ribosomal RNA
Rfam family: Bacterial small subunit ribosomal RNA
Source: RNAcentral
GACGAACGCUGGCGGCGUGCUUAACACAUGCAAGUCGAACGGAAAGGCCCUGCUUUUGUGGGGUGCUCGAGUGGCGAACGGGUGAGUAACACGUGAGUAACCUGCCCUUGACUUUGGGAUAACUUCAGGAAACUGGGGCUAAUACCGGAUAGGAGCUCCUGCUGCAAGGUGGGGGUUGGAAAGUUUCGGCGGUUGGGGAUGGACUCGCGGCUUAUCAGCUUGUUGGUGGGGUAGUGGCUUACCAAGGCUUGACGGGUAGCCGGCCUGAGAGGGUGACCGGCCACAUUGGGACUGAGAUACGGCCCAGACUCCUACGGGAGGCAGCAGUGGGGAAUAUUGCACAAUGGGCGGAAGCCUGAUGCAGCAACGCCGCGUGCGGGAUGACGGCCUUCGGGUUGUAAACCGCUUUCGCCUGUGACGAAGCGUGAGUGACGGUAAUGGGUAAAGAAGCACCGGCUAACUACGUG